AGAUUGAACGCUGGCGGCAUGCCUUACACAUGCAAGUCGAACGGCAGCACGGGAGCAAUCCUGGUGGCGAGUGGCGAACGGGGUGAGUAAUACAUCGGAACGUGCCCAAUCGUGGGGGAUAACGCAGCGAAAGCUGUGCUAAUACCGCAUAAGAUCUACGGAUGAAAGCAGGGGAUCGCAAGACCUUGCGCGAAUGGAGCGGCCGAUGGGCAGUAUUAGGUAGUUGGUAGAGGGUAAAGGCUCACCAAGCCUUCGAUCUGUACGCUGGUCUGAGAGGACGACCAGCCACACGUGGACUGGACACCGACGGCCCAGUACCUCCGGUACGGGA
RNAcentral lists this ribosomal RNA (331 nucleotides) under uncultured soil bacterium. RNAcentral describes it as "bacterial SSU rRNA". It matches the Rfam family "Bacterial small subunit ribosomal RNA", at positions 26 to 346 of the family's 1533-position model. The record is from RNAcentral.